RNAcentral lists this ribosomal RNA (429 nucleotides) under Pseudomonadota bacterium. RNAcentral describes it as "Proteobacteria bacterium partial 16S ribosomal RNA". It matches the Rfam family "Bacterial small subunit ribosomal RNA", at positions 355 to 776 of the family's 1533-position model. The record is from RNAcentral. Lineage: Bacteria; Pseudomonadati; Pseudomonadota.
UGGGGAAUAUUGGACAAUGGGCGAAAGCCUGAUCCAGCCAUGCCGCGUGUGUGAAGAAGGUCUUCGGAUUGUAAAGCACUUUAAGUUGGGAGGAAGGGCAGUAAGCGAAUACCUUGCUGUUUUGACGUUACCGACAGAAUAAGCACCGGCUAACUCUGUGCCAGCAGCCGCGGUAAUACAGAGGGUGCAAGCGUUAAUCGGAAUUACUGGGCGUAAAGCGCGCGUAGGUGGUUCGUUAAGUUGAAUGUGAAAGCCCCGGGCUCAACCUGGGAACUGCAUCCAAAACUGGCGAGCUAGAGUAGGGCAGAGGGUGGUGGAAUUUCCGGUGUAGCGGUGAAAUGCGUAGAUAUAGGAAGGAACACCAGUGGCGAAGGCGACCACCUGGGCUCAUACUGACACUGAGGUGCGAAAGCGUGGGGAGCAAACAGG